Molecule: long non-coding RNA, 433 nt
Organism: Salvelinus sp. IW2-2015
Lineage: Eukaryota; Metazoa; Chordata; Actinopteri; Salmoniformes; Salmonidae
Source: RefSeq, a predicted model, not a curated record
GUUUAUAUAGUGUGGCAAAGGUUUCACUGCGCAGGGUAACCUCAAGAUCCACCAGCGCAUCCACACAGGGGAGAAACCGUACCAGUGCUCCCAGUGUCAGAAAAGCUUCUCUCGGCUGGCCCACUAUAAAGACCACCAGCAGACUCACCGGGAGGAGAAACCGUAUCACUGCAAUGACUGUGGGAAAAGCUUCUCCUACUUCAAGUCACUCAAGUGCCACCAGAUGAUACACAAAGGGGAGAACCUCCACCACUGCUCCGUAUGUGGUAAAGGGUUCGCCAUCCGCGGCAACCUGAAGACCCAUCUGCAGACACACACCAAGGAGAAACCACACCAAUGCUCAGAGUGCGGGAAACGGUUCUCCCGAGCCCACGACCUGAAAAAACACAAGCUGCUCCACACGGGGCAGAAGACCUACCACAUUUGCCAGUGU